RNAcentral lists this ribosomal RNA (776 nucleotides) under Vibrio alginolyticus. RNAcentral describes it as "bacterial SSU rRNA". It matches the Rfam family "Bacterial small subunit ribosomal RNA", at positions 162 to 934 of the family's 1533-position model. Lineage: Bacteria; Pseudomonadati; Pseudomonadota; Gammaproteobacteria; Vibrionales; Vibrionaceae. The record is from RNAcentral.
GCUAAUACCGCAUGAUGCCUACGGGCCAAAGAGGGGGACCUUCGGGCCUCUCGCGUCAGGAUAUGCCUAGGUGGGAUUAGCUAGUUGGUGAGGUAAGGGCUCACCAAGGCGACGAUCCCUAGCUGGUCUGAGAGGAUGAUCAGCCACACUGGAACUGAGACACGGUCCAGACUCCUACGGGAGGCAGCAGUGGGGAAUAUUGCACAAUGGGCGCAAGCCUGAUGCAGCCAUGCCGCGUGUAUGAAGAAGGCCUUCGGGUUGUAAAGUACUUUCAGUCGUGAGGAAGGCGGAGUCGUUAAUAGCGGCUUCGUUUGACGUUAGCGACAGAAGAAGCACCGGCUAACUCCGUGCCAGCAGCCGCGGUAAUACGGAGGGUGCGAGCGUUAAUCGGAAUUACUGGGCGUAAAGCGCAUGCAGGUGGUUUGUUAAGUCAGAUGUGAAAGCCCGGGGCUCAACCUCGGAAUAGCAUUUGAAACUGGCAGACUAGAGUACUGUAGAGGGGGGUAGAAUUUCACGUGUAGCGGUGAAAUGCGUAGAGAUCUGAAAGAAUACCAGUGGCGAAAGCGGCCCCCUGGACAGAUACUGACACUCAGAUGCGAAAGCGUGGGGAGCAAACAGAUUAGAUACCCUGGUAGUCCACGCCGUAAACGAUGUCUACCUUGGAGGUUGUGGUCCUUGAGCCGUGGCUUUCGGAGCUAACGCGUUAAGUAGACCGCCUGGCGGAGUACGGUCGCAGAUUAAUACUUCAAUGAUUGACGGCGCCCGCACGAGCGUGC